UGCAGUUUUACAUUCGUAUUUGUAUUUAAGUUUCAAUUGUAAAUUCCUUUCAUGUAUUUUGUAUAAAAAUGAAGUUUGUCUGUUAGUUUAUGUUUUGAUAGUUUCCACUUCUGAAUUCCUCAGUGUUGUCCACGUACUAGUUGUUAUAUAAAAAUUGUCGUUCUCCUUAUGAUGGCUGUACACCAGAUAUACUCAGGACAUAUUGAGACAUGAAUUACCAUUUCUACCACAUGGGAAAGUUUCAACAUCCUACGUUGAAAAUGGACUAGACGAUCCUGAUAAUAAUAUUAUUUUUAUGCAUAGUACGAGUAAUGGAUAUUGAAUAUAAUUGAUAGUCAAUUAAUAGUAGUGUAACAAAAAAUGGACGUAUGUCAGAUCACUCAAGGCAUGCAGAAACAUGAAUUCACAUUUCUACCACUUAAGAAAGUAUCAACAUCCUAUGCUGAAAAUGGACUAAAAGAUACUGCUAAUAAUAUUGGGUUUAUAUAAUGUGCGUGUAAGGGUUAUUGAAUAUAAUUGAUAGUAAAUUAAUGGCAGUGAAACAAUUGAGAUUUGUUAAUAAUCUGAAUAAAAUUUUAGUUAACACCUUUGAC
Rhopalosiphum padi (bird cherry-oat aphid) is the source of this 593-nucleotide long non-coding RNA. RefSeq lists it as uncharacterized. NCBI's taxonomy places the organism in Eukaryota, Metazoa, Arthropoda, Insecta, Hemiptera, Aphididae. The record is from RefSeq and is a predicted model, not a curated record. The transcript is spliced from 3 exons.